GACUUAUUACAAAAUAAAGUAAUAAAGAUAAAACGAACUAAGGAUCGUCGGCGCCAAUGUCGACUGAGAAACGCCACCUAGAUCAGAUCGAACUCCUCAGUGUUAGGCGGCUCCUCCUGAACCACCUGCUCUUCUCCUGUGGGGGGGGGGGUGAGACAGCAAGAGUGAGCUCACAUACGAUCAUAGCUCAACAAGUCGUGGGGAAUAAUGUGGCAUGAACUCACCAAAGGUGGGAAUUCAUGAAGUGUAAGGCUGAUCAAUGAAAUAAAGGCUGAAGCUGAGCAUUGCUUUUAUAAGUUGGUCAAAGUUUUAUUAGCAGUUACUAAGUGUAAGUGAAUACCAAACCAUUAUAAUAAUAAGUAAAAGUAGUAACAAAAUAAUCCCAAAUGCAAUGAGAUGACAAAUUAAGUUUAAGUUCCAUAAAUUAAUCAUGUGAGUGUCCGAGCCGCUCAUGACCGUGAGCACGGCUAGUAUACCAGUUUUACACUCUGCAGAGGUUGCGCAUCUUUACCCACAAGUCGUGUUACCCAUCUGCCACAGAGUUGAUCAGACUCCAUACACCUCUACCUAGGAAGCGAGGCAGGGUACCACUACGAGGCCUUUACAAAGUUCCACUAGCUUCAGACUACCCGCUAUAGUUUAUAGGAAGAUCCAGUACAGGGUUCCUGGCUGACAGCCAUCGCAGCAAAAUCAACCAGGGACCUCCCCGCACUGACCUCUCCCUUACUGCCCUUGCCCCUUUCGGGUAAGGUAGCCCUCCCCUAGCUUUCCUAGUUAAUCAGCCAAGGGCGUCCCAUUAAACCCUUGUGGUAGCACUGUUUUCCCGGGUGGUUCUCCAUGUUCCAAUUAACAUAAUGAUCUUAACAUGAACAAGGAAUAAUAAAACAUAUAACAAUAAAUAGUGUAACAAUGAGUGAUGAAUAUCUCUAUACCCAAAUCCACAUAAAGCAAUAGCAUGUACUACCCAAAACUUUAGUAGUAAAACCAGUGGUGAAGCAAGGUAUAAAGAUAGUCAAAAUCUAGGGCAUCCUAUUGGGUCCCAGCAAAAUUAUCCUAUGCAGAUCAUUAUGAAUAAUAAGAACAUGAAUGGGUAAAAGAAGUGAUCAAGGGCACAACUUGCCUUCAACGAGCUCCUGCUCAGCUACUUCAACUUGUUGAAGCUCAGGUUCCACAGUAGGUUGCUCGUCUACUCGCAUCAAUACAAUACAUACAUGACAUAGCAUAAAUUAACAUCACAUCAAACAUGCAAAUAGAAUAUACAGUAAUAAACUAGACAUUAAAAUAUGAUCACAGGAACUGGAAUCAUUAAAUUUAGAGUUAUACAUUUUAAGUUAUGGAUUUUCUAAGGUUUAAUGUGCUUGAAAUAGGAUUAAAUGAUAAAUAAUUUUUCUAACAGAGUUCAUGUCAAAACAGUGACUCUAAGUGUUAGAGAAUAAUAUUACAAAAUUUUAGAAACUGGAAUGGCUCAAUUUGGACUAAAAAUGGAUUUUCUAUGAUUUAUACAAGUUCUAGGGUUUAUUUUCAUAUUAAAAAUCCAAAUUCUAAUUCAUUUAAUUGAUUUAAAACAAUUCUGGAUCGGGCCUCAUUUACUGGUAAAUUCAGGGUUCUCGGUGUAAGUUUCCUAAGACACAGAGCACAGUGCUCACUGGAUGGCGGGUUGAAUUGUGAUUUCUUCGGGGUCUCUUUAGAAAAAAUGCCCCGCGAAGGGGUAUCGGUGAAUCUGAGCCGUUGGAUCACUUGUCAAGGGCAUGGAUUAGAUCGGAUCCCGGCCGAACCGGUACCCGCCCAGAGCCGCCCGAUCUAGAUCCGAUGGUAAGGAUUUAAUGAGUCAAGGAUUCAACGUUCAUCACUGGAUCACAAAUCUACAGCUGAAAUCGUCCCGGUCGAAAUGUUACACCAUACCUAAUCUCUGUCGAUCAUCCAGAGAUCAACGGCUGACGCUGGUUCAAAUCUAGACCGUCCGAUAAGAUCAGACGGCAGCCGUUCCAUCCUCCCCACGGUGGCGCCCAACGGCGGAACACGAGCCACCCGCGGCGGCGCUCCAUUGCCGAGCCGGCCACUAGUACCCCAGGCGACCCGAAAUCCAAUCUAACGGACGCUACACGGUGCAGGGGCAAGAGUGAAUACGCGAAGAAGGUUCUCACCGUCGGAAGGGGUUCAGUCGAAGCAGUCCACGGCGGAGGGCGAGUCCGCGGCGGCGGCGAAGUUCGGCGAGGAAUUCCGGUUGCGCCGAGGAUUGGUUUUCUGGUCCGAGCACACGUAUGGCUCGCACGUGGUUCAACGAUCACCCUAGGCCCGAUCUACAGGCCUCGGAUGACCCCACGGCGUGCGGCAACGGCGGCGGGUACCAACUUAGCUACUGCGCGCGGCGGCGGCGGCUUAUGGGUCGAGCUCGCGUGGGAGGGAGUCAUGGAUGAGAAGGCAGAGACGCAGGGGUCCCCCCCUUUUAUCCCCUUGAGUCACGAUCCGGAGCAAGGAGAGCGCGCCCAUAAUCCCGGCGUCGACGGUGAGUUCUGCGCGAGCCGUUGCAAGGAUAGGGAUGACCUGACCAGCGGGGUCCAUGUGUCGGUGGCGGUCACGGAAGAACUACGCGCGCGCGGGGCAGGCUGGUCGGUGGGUCCGGCAGAUCAGCGAGGGGAGAACCGUGGUCGAGCGCGUGAGUGAGGGAGGCUGACGGGCGGAGCCCACCUGUCGGCGCACGCGGGUGUCGGUACGCUGGGCCGCGCGGUGAGGAAGUCCCGGUGGGCCAAAUUCCCAGCCGACGGCCCAAUUAGGGUUUUAGUCCUUUUUUCUAUUUUAUUUUCUAUUUUCUUUUCCCAUUUCCAAGUUAAAUUUGAAUUCAAACUUAAAUUCACAUUUCUAUGGCUCACCACUUCAACUUAUAUUUGUGAGAUUAGGGAUACCAAUCCUGAAUAUAUUUAUUCAUAUAUAUUUUAUUUAUAUAUGUAUUUUUAUAACCCUUCUCUCUUUCUUAUUUUCAAACUUUAAUUUUCAUUUAAGGUUUGAUCCAAUCCUUUAGAAUUAUUAUCUCUUUGUUAUUAUCCUUAUUAUUUUAUUUAAUGUGCAAACAUAUAAAACUCCAACAUGAUGCAUAUUCUUUUUAUCCUUUGUUUUAAUUCACCUCCAACUUUCAUGUAUGCUCUUUUUAUGAUGCAAUCAUGGCACAUAGAACAAGGAAUUCACUAUAUAAUCCUCUUAUACAAUUUUGAGUAUUACAAAUCCUACCCCCCUUAAAAAUAAUCUCGUCCUCGAGAUUUAAGAAGAACUAGAGAAAAGGUGGGGAAAAACUAUACGAAGCUCUUCUUCUCUUUCCCAAGUUGCUUCAUCUUCACUGUGGUGGCUCCAUUGAACUUUGCACAUCUUAAUCACCUUAUUCCUUGUAACUCGAGUCAAAGUGUCCAGAACCUUAAUAGGGUACUCAGCAUAAGUCAAAUCAUCUUGAACACUGAGGUCCUCCAUUGGUAACUGUUCCUUAGGUACCCUGAGGCACUUCUUUAGCUGAGACACAUGAAAUACAUCAUGUACAUCUGACAGAUGAUCGGGUAACUCCAGUUGAUAUGCAACUUCACCCACUCGCUUCAAGAUCAAGAAAGGUCCAAUGAAGCGAGGGGACAACUUUCCUUUAACUUUAAAUCUCCUCAUACCACGAAGUGGUGACACCUUCAAAUAGACAUGAUCACCCUCCUUAAACUCCAGUAAUCUCCUCCUAUUGUCAGCAUAGCUCUUUUGCCUGGAUUGUGCAAUUCUCAAAUUUUCUCUUAUCAUCCGAACUUGUUCUUCUGCCUCUUGUAUAAGUUCAGGCCCAAAGAACUGUCUUUCUCCAGUCUGAUCCCAAUAUAGGGGAGUCCUGCAUUUUCUGCCAUACAAAGCCUCAAAUGGUGACAUCUUCAAACUGGCCUGAUAGCUAUUAUUAUAAGAAAACUCAGCAUAUGGUAAACUCUUCUCCCAACUGCCACCAUGUUUAAGAGCACAAGCUCUUAACAUAUCCUCCAGUACUUGAUUAGUUCUCUCUGUCUGUCCAUCAGUCUGAGGAUGGUAGGCUGAGCUAAAAUUCAACUUUGUAUCCAAGCUCUCAUGCAACUUCUUCCAAAAUCGAGAAGUAAACUGUGAUCCUCGAUCAGACACGAUCUUCUUAGGCACUCCAUGUAGACAAACUAUCCGAGUCAUAUACAAUUCUGCUAGCUUGGCUCCCGUGUAAUUAGUCCUCACAGGUAUAAAAUGAGCCACCUUUGUCAAUCUGUCCACAAUUACCCAAAUAGAGUCAUAUCCUGCUGGAGUGCGGGGUAGUCCAACAAUGAAAUCCAUACCAAUUUCUUCCCAUUUCCACUCAGGUAUCUUCAAUGGGUGCAAUAAUCCAGCAGGUCUUUGAUGUUCGGCCUUGACUCUUUGACAUACAUCACACUUAGCCACAUGAGCAGCCACAUCUCUUUUCAGUCCAUACCACCAAUACUUUCGCUUCAAAUCUUGAUACAUCUUAGUGCUUCCAGGGUGGAUGGAGUAAUCAGAAUCAUGAGCUUCUUUCAAUAUAGCCUCACGGAGGCUAUCGAUCUCUGGAACACAUAUCCGAUCUUUGAACCAUAUAGUACCUUGCUCAUCCUCCGUGAACUCCGGGCCUCUACCUUCAGUAAUAAGAUUCUUGAUCUCUUGAAUCUUAGCAUCACCAAUCUGACCUUUACGAAUUUCUUGCUCCAAGGUAGGUUCCAAUUCGAUAGUCACUCCUUCCGUAUGUGUAACAAUUCCCAGAUUGAGUCUCUCAAAAUCUUCUGCUAAUUCAUCGGGUAGCUGGACAACGAAAGCGGAGUGAACAUGCUCCUUCCGACUCAAGGCAUCUGCAACCAAAUUCGCCUUGCCCGGGUGAUAGUGAAUCUCCAAAUCAUAAUCCUUGAUGAGCUCCAACCAACGGCGUUGCCUAAGGUUGAGAUCCUUCUGAGUGAAUACGUACUUCAAACUCUUAUGAUCCGUAUAUACUUGGCACUUAGUUCCCAUAAUAUAGUGUCUCCAAAUCUUAAGUGCAUGCACAACGGCAGCCAGCUCUAAGUCAUGAGUGGGGUAGUUCAAUUCAUGCUUCCGCAACUGACGAGAUGCAUAGGCAAUCACAUGUCCUUCUUGCAUAAGCACACAUCCAAGUCCUUGGCCACAUGCAUCACAGUAAAUGUCAAAUCCCUUCUGCAGAUCUGGCAUAAUCAAUACUGGAGGUGACAUCAAUCUUUCCUUCAAUUGAUCAAAGCUCUCUUGACAUUUCUCAUCCCACUUAAAUUCUUUUCCUUUCUCCAAGAGCGAUGUCAUAGGCUUGGCAAUCUUAGAGAAUCCCUCAAUAAAUCUCCGAUAAUAUCCUGCGAGUCCCAAGAAACUCCGAAUCUCAGUAACUGUAGUGGGCACUCUCCAUUCCAUAAUCUCCUUCACUUUAGCAGGAUCCACUGCUAUUCCUCCAUUAGAAAUAAUAUGACCAAGGAAUGGCACCUUGUCAAUCCAGAACUCACACUUGCUAAACUUAGCGUAGAGCUCAUUAUCUCGCAACUUCUGUAGCACCAAUCUCAGAUGUUGUUCAUGAUCACUUUCAUUCUUAGAAUAAAUAAGAAUAUCAUCGAUGAAUACCACAACGAAUCUGUCCAAAUACUCCAUAAACACUUUGUUCAUCAAAUUCAUGAAAUAAGCUGGUGCAUUGGUUAAUCCAAAUGACAUAACAGUAAACUCAUAUAAUCCAUAUCGGGUCGAGAAAGCCGUCUUAGGAAUAUCCGAUGGUCUAAUCUUCAUCUGAUGGUAUCCCGAUCGGAGAUCAAUCUUCGAGAAUACCCUAGCACCUCGCAUCUGAUCAAAUAAAUCCUCAAUACGGGGCAACGGAUACUUGUUCUUCACCGUAACAUCAUUAAGAGAUCUAUAAUCCACACACAUCCGUUGCGAUCCAUCCUUCUUCUGCACAAAUAAUACCGGUGCUCCCCAAGGUGAGGAACUUGGACGAAUGUAACCAGCCUCUUGCAACUCCGUCAACUGCUUCUUCAGUUCCUUCAACUCCUCUACGGACAUUCUAUAUGGCCGUUUAGAAAUAGGGGCGGUUCCAGGUAAGAGAUCAAUAACAAACUCAACUUCUCUAUCAGGUGGCAUCCCUGGUAACUCCUCUGGAAAGACAUCCGGAAAAUCUCUAACCACCCGGAUGUUGUCACCAACAAACUCCUCAGGCAUAAAGAACAUUGCACGCAUGGAUGAGGAGGUUACUGCAAUAUUAACUUGAAACCUUUCUCCUUUAGUGGUAGUGAGUUCUAUGGUACCUCUACCACAAGCUAUAACGGCCUUUGCCUUUCUUAGCCAUGACAUACCAAGGAUAAAAUCUAUACUGCUUGACUCUAAUAUUAUAGCAGUAGCUCCAAAUUCUCUACCCAUAAUGGUUAAUGUCAAUCUACGUGUCAUUUGAUUCGCCUCAACAGGCCCUUUAGGUGUAAUUACUAUCAGGGGUUUUCUCAUAUUUAGCAGUGGUACUUCAUUUGUGUUGGCAUAUCUAGCAGACAUGAAUGAAUGUGUAGCACCCGAAUCAAAUAAUAUUGUUCCAGGAAUUGCAUUAACAUAAAACAUACCAAUUACGAGGUCACCACCAUCAGGAGUAUCUUCAACGCUGACUUGAUUCACCCUGGCUAUAGAAUAUCCCUUGCCAGGGGUCUGUUG
This 6657-nucleotide long non-coding RNA is filed under the name Zea mays. Its description in RNAcentral is "long non-coding RNA (ZMAY_LNC003621)". Lineage: Eukaryota; Viridiplantae; Streptophyta; Magnoliopsida; Poales; Poaceae. The record is from RNAcentral.